GUCUCGGCGGCUUCCUCCUCCCAGUGUGCGAGGGAGGCCGGGAGGGGUCCCUGGGCGGGGAGUUGCUGCGCAUCUGCUGUGUCUGCCUGUCUCUCUGUCUGGGUCUCUUUCAGGCUGCGUCGGUCUGUCUGUCUGGGUCUGUUUCAGGCUGUGUCUGUCUGUCUGUCUGGGUCUGUUUCAGGCUGUGUCUGUCUGUCUGUCCGGGUCUGUUUCAGGCUGUGUCUGUCUGUCUGUCCGGGUCUGUUUCAGGCUGUGUCUGUCUGUCUGUCCGGGUCUGUUUCAGGCUGUGUCUGUCUGUCUGUUUGUCUGGGUCUGUUUCAGGCUGUGUCUGUCUGUCCGGGUCUGUUUCAGGCUGUAUGUGUGUCUGCUCUUUGCUUCUGCUCCUGGCUCUGUGUGUAUUUCCCGGG
Molecule: long non-coding RNA, 407 nt
Filed under: Homo sapiens (human)
Lineage: Eukaryota; Metazoa; Chordata; Mammalia; Primates; Hominidae
Description: HSALNT0395751
Source: RNAcentral